CGCGGGAUGGAGCAGUCUGGUAGCUCGUCGGGCUCAUAACCCGAAGGUCGUCGGUUCAAAUCCGGCUCCCGCAA
This is a non-coding RNA of Pseudomonas fluorescens, 74 nucleotides long. The record is from Rfam. NCBI's taxonomy places the organism in Bacteria, Pseudomonadati, Pseudomonadota, Gammaproteobacteria, Pseudomonadales, Pseudomonadaceae.